RNAcentral lists this signal recognition particle RNA (295 nucleotides) under Aotus nancymaae (Ma's night monkey). Its description in RNAcentral is "Metazoan signal recognition particle RNA (ENSANAG00000006420.1)". It matches the Rfam family "Metazoan signal recognition particle RNA". From Rfam's summary of the family: The signal recognition particle (SRP) is a universally conserved ribonucleoprotein. It is involved in the co-translational targeting of proteins to membranes. The record is from RNAcentral. Lineage: Eukaryota; Metazoa; Chordata; Mammalia; Primates; Aotidae.
GCCAGGCGUGGUGGCACGUGUCUGUAGUCCUAACUGCUCGGGAGGCUGAGGUGGGAGAAUUACUUGAGCCCAGGAGUUCUGGGCUGUAGUGUGCUGUGCCAAUUGGGUGUCCAUACUAAGUUUGGCAUAAAUAUGGUAACCUCCCGGGAUUGGGGGACCACCAGGUUGCCUAAGGGUGAACCGGCCCAGGUUGGAAAUGGAGCAGGUCAAAACUCCCAUGCUGAUCAGUAGUGGGAUCGCACCUGUGAAUAGCCACUGCACCCCAGCCUGGGCAACAUAGCGAGACCCUGUCUCU